Molecule: ribosomal RNA, 166 nt
Filed under: uncultured bacterium
Lineage: Bacteria
Description: partial 16S ribosomal RNA
Rfam family: Bacterial small subunit ribosomal RNA
Source: RNAcentral
GCUAGUAAUCGCGGAUCAGCAUGCCGCGGUGAAUACGUUCCCGGGCCUUGUACACACCGCCCGUCACACCAUGGGAGCCGGUAAUACCCGAAGUCAGUAGUCCAACCUCGUGAGGACGCUGCCGAAGGUAGGAUUGGCGACUGGGGUGAAGUCGUAACAAGGUAUC